RNAcentral lists this transfer RNA (83 nucleotides) under Nocardia rhizosphaerihabitans. RNAcentral's name for it is "tRNA-Pro". The record is from RNAcentral. Lineage: Bacteria; Bacillati; Actinomycetota; Actinomycetes; Mycobacteriales; Nocardiaceae.
GAUCGCGCUGAUCGGGGCGGGCGAUGCCGCCUCGGCGGUGGCGGUGGCGCUCAGUGGCAUCGGUUCGAUCCUCGGCGCGAUCC